Long non-coding RNA from Neogale vison (American mink), 653 nucleotides. RefSeq lists it as uncharacterized. The record is from RefSeq and is a predicted model, not a curated record. Lineage: Eukaryota; Metazoa; Chordata; Mammalia; Carnivora; Mustelidae. The transcript is spliced from 3 exons.
CUUCAGUGGCCUCGGAUGGGUUCAGUGGGGGUGGGGCGGAGGGGAGGAAUUUCAAGGUCCUGGGCCGAUAAAUGAGAACACAGGAAUGAAUCGAAACUGGCGUGAGCGCUGGAGGCUUCCCGCUCUGUGAUGGGAGGCAGAUUAAAUCACACAUGGAAAGGACCCAGGUCCGGUUGGACCUUGAAGCACGGCCAGGAGCACCCCAAGCACAGGGAAAGGUCUAGACGGUCCCGCAUUCAGAGAUCCCCCGGGGUGGAAGGCCUCAUCCCUGCGGCCAUUUUCUCAGCACCUGUGCCAGGUGGAACUGUCUCCAGGCUGCCACAGGCUGGUUGAAAACACCAGUCACUUAAGGCGAGAGCCCUGCAUAAUGAUUCUCCAAAGACUGUUUCCCAGAGACACACAUGACAAUCAGGCCAUCUGCAUUCUGUCAGUCAGUGUCCCUCUUUAGCAUCUUCACCUCAGAUGCAGAAAAUGAGUCUGAAAGAGAAGGUCCUUACAGAAGUCCACUAGCCAGGAAGCAGCAGGGCCUGGAUUCAAAUGCAAGCCUGUCUCACCACAGAGAAAGCCCACAUUUUCCCCCCUGACAACCGGCAGCCUGCCUAGUGGUGAGUCAGUGGUGCAAACAAGCACCCAGAGACCUGCCUUUUUUUUUA